AUAAUCAAACGCUAAUGUUACCACAAUGCUUGCACUCGUGUAUUCGAUACGAUAGGGAUAGCUUCGUGAGAUACAAAUUUUUCAAUGUAUCAAAUUCGGAUAUAUUUUUUGGUUUUGUAUGCAGAAAAAGUUGGCCGUAGGCGCAUAUAAGAACCGAUUGGUUUCUUCCACAUACACUGCGCUCCUAGUAAUACACUACACGUGGUGGAUCUUCCAACAGGCCGGCGACCAAAGAAGUUGCACAGGUGACAGUGACUGCGGUAACAUUACGACAUUCUGUUGCGUGAUACGAAGCAAUGGUCAACCAAUCGGAAAGUGCGAACCGAAACCUGGACUCGGGGAAAAAUGCUCGACAGCAGUAUCCUCGAACAGGAAACCCAACACGGUUAACCUUCUUCAUAGAGACGGCUGCCCCUGCCGACCACCAUACGUGUGUGCCCGCCCUUCACCGAAAUCCGGGUUAGGCACUUGCCAGAAACCAUGAAGAACGAACAUCCGGAUGAAGACUAACUAGCCUAGCCUAAAGUUCGAAGUGCACAACUUGUGGUUCAAGAAUUAAAUUCACGCUCUGCUUGUG
This 577-nucleotide long non-coding RNA is filed under the name Dermacentor andersoni. RNAcentral describes it as "uncharacterized LOC126527324". Lineage: Eukaryota; Metazoa; Arthropoda; Arachnida; Ixodida; Ixodidae. The record is from RNAcentral.